Long non-coding RNA from Erinaceus europaeus (western European hedgehog), 595 nucleotides. RefSeq lists it as uncharacterized. The transcript has 2 exons. Lineage: Eukaryota; Metazoa; Chordata; Mammalia; Eulipotyphla; Erinaceidae. The record is from RefSeq and is a predicted model, not a curated record.
AGGUUUCCCCAGCUCUGACAUGCCGCAAGGGCUGCCCAGAUUGCGUCAGGCGGCGGGCACCCGCCGGCUCCUAGUCCCGGCACCCCGCCUGGAACUGUCACCUUCGGGAGCGACGAGCGCGUUCCGGGCAGACGUCUCCCCAGCGGCCCAGCCGGCCAAGUUCACGGCCUCCGGGCGACACCGAACAGGGCACGCCCAGGCGCUCUGGGCGGUGACAGCGUCUCUGGGACCGCUGGGGCCCGCGCUGCCGAGAGCUGGUGGCGGUGCCCUCCCUCCGCGUUCCACGCAGGUGCCUCACGCCGUUGGCUGGCCCGCGUGAGCACAUGGAGAAACUGAGUCACUGGCAGCGCAGAGUUCUGCAGAGGUUGCAAGGCUGAGUCAGGCCGGGGACAGGAGCUCGCGGAACUCACGUGAGAGCGGCGCCAAGUGCAGGGGUCCUGAUGAAGUUGGACUUCAGAGGCUUCUGGUCAUCUUCCCCUAACAUUUCUCCCCCACUGGGGGUAUGGACCAAAUUUUUCUUUGGGGGAGGGGUGCAGAAGGUGGGAGUUCUGGCUUCUAUAAUUGCUUCUCUGCUUGACAUGGAUGUUGGCAGGUG